UGUCUUUAUAGAUUUUUAUAAAGUCCAAUCUGCUCACUGAGUUUUAAAGAGCCGCAGUAUUAUGACUGUGCAAAGGUAGCAUAAUCAAUAGUUUUUUAAUUGAAAACUGGAAUGAAAGAUUAGAUGAAAAUUAAAUUUUCUUUAUUUAAAUCAUUGAAUUUAAAUUUUAAGUGAAAAUUCUUAAUUUGUUUUAAAAGACGAGAAGACCCUAUAGAUUUUUAUUAAUUUAAAGAUUUAUUUACAAUUAAUAAAUUGAUUUAAUUGGGGUGAUGUUGUAAAAUAAUUAACUUGAAAAAACUAAACCAUAAAUAAUUGAAAUUUUUGAUCUAAAUAUUUUAAAAAGAAGAAUAAAUUACCUUAGGGAUAACAGCGUAAUUUUAUUUGAGAGUUCAUAUUUAUAAUAAAGAUUGCGACCUCGAUGUUGAAUUAAGGUAUAGUACUGAGGAAGAAGGUAGUAUUAUAAGUCUGUUCGACUAUUUAACCUUACGUGAUC
RNAcentral lists this ribosomal RNA (493 nucleotides) under Bertkauia crosbyana. Its description in RNAcentral is "partial 16S ribosomal RNA". It matches the Rfam family "Bacterial large subunit ribosomal RNA", at positions 1828 to 2605 of the family's 2925-position model. The record is from RNAcentral. Lineage: Eukaryota; Metazoa; Arthropoda; Insecta; Psocodea; Epipsocidae.